GAUGAAGAACGCAGCGAAAUGCGAUAAGUAAUGUGAAUUGCAGAAUUCAGUGAAUCAUCGAAUCUUUGAACGCACAUUGCGCCCAUUAGCAUUCUAGUGGGCAUGCCUGUUCGAGCGUCAUUUCAACCCUUAAGCCCUGUUGCUUAGCGUUGGGAGCCUACAGUACUGUAGCUCCCCAAAGUUAGUGGCGGAGUCGGUUUCACACUCUAGACGUAGUAAUUUUUUCUCGUCUGUAGUUGAGCCGGUCCCCUGCCGUAAAACACCCAAUUUAUCAAGGUUGACCUCGGAUCAGGUAGGAAUACCCGCUGAACUUAAGCAUAUCAAUAACGGAGGA
Molecule: unclassified non-coding RNA, 334 nt
Filed under: soil metagenome
Description: partial contains 5.8S ribosomal RNA, internal transcribed spacer 2, and large subunit ribosomal RNA
Rfam family: 5.8S ribosomal RNA (bases 1-120)
Source: RNAcentral